GACGAACGCUGGCGGCGUGCUUAACACAUGCAAGUCGAACGGAAAGGCCCCUUUGGGGGUACUCGAGUGGCGAACGGGUGAGUAACACGUGAGUAACCUGCCCUUGACUUCGGGAUAACUUCAGGAAACUGGGGCUAAUACCGGAUAGGAAUCCUUGCUGCAUGGUGGGGGUUGGAAAGCUUCGGCGGUUUUGGAUGGACUCGCGGCUUAUCAGCUUGUUGGUGGGGUAGUGGCUUACCAAGGCUUUGACGGGUAGCCGGCCUGAGAGGGCGACCGGCCACAUUGGGACUGAGAUACGGCCCAGACUCCUACGGAAGGCAGCGGUGGGGAAUAUUGCACAAUGGGCGGAAGCCUGAUGCAGCAACGCCGCGUGCGGGAUGACGGCCUUCGGGUUGUAAACCGCUUUCAGCAGGGGCGAAGCUUGUGGUGACGGUACCUGCAGAAGAAGCACCGGCUAACUACGUG
This 465-nucleotide ribosomal RNA is filed under the name uncultured bacterium. Its description in RNAcentral is "partial 16S ribosomal RNA". It matches the Rfam family "Bacterial small subunit ribosomal RNA", at positions 28 to 507 of the family's 1533-position model. The record is from RNAcentral.